Molecule: long non-coding RNA, 4910 nt
Organism: Pan paniscus (pygmy chimpanzee)
Lineage: Eukaryota; Metazoa; Chordata; Mammalia; Primates; Hominidae
Source: Ensembl
AUGGGCCAGUCAGGGCAGGACUACUCAUCACUCAUAGUGUGGGUGUCAGGGUUGUGUCACCCCUCCCACUUCCCUCUGCAGAGACGCAAAGUCAAGAGUAGGAAGAAGCCAACCUCUGAGGUCAUGACCCCCAGGAGACCUGGAGGACUGAAUGCUGCUGUCCCCAAGGAGGAGGCUGCCGUCUUAUCCCAGGAGGGAGAGCAGGUGAAGUCCCCAGGGGAGGAAGCACCUAGCCCCAUUCCUGCUGAGCAGGAGGUGGCAGGUACCCCAGACUGGGAGGUAAGGACAGCCUGGGGCUUCAACUGGAACAUCUCCAGCAUGGGUCCGACUGAGCAGCCAUGGAGCACUGCAGAGUGGGAGGCAGCAGGGCAGAGAGGCAGUGCUGGACGCUGGCUCAACCCCAAGACCAGCAGGCCAAGCUGCCAUCCCAGGGGAGCGAGGACGUCUGUGCAGAGCUGAGAGGCAGCAGCCAUAUGUGAACAGACUGGGCCUCAUCCUGGCCCCACCGACUUUGUGUGGACAGAGCCUGUUUCCCUGUCUGUGCAACACAGAACCUGCCUGAUCUCACUGCUGGAUCCCUCUUCUUCCUGCCAGGAAAAUAAAAAGGUUCAAAAGGAAGUUGCUGCGUAUCCAUCUGGUAAGACCACGGACCCAGCGUGCUGCAGGGGGCUGCUUCCACCCUGCUUCUCAGUGACUGCCAGGGUCACAGACACCCCAGCCCUUUCCCACCUUCCUGACCUGGGGAGGGGAGGGAAGCAGCCCAGGAGUCAGGUGCCUUGACCUUCCUGGGAGCCUCCUUGGGUGGGCAGGAACUCUGGGCCACUCCCCUGAGCUGGCUGCAUCCCUACCUUUCACCACAGCUGACCUGGCCCCGGGGCAUCUCAGAGGGAGGGUUGGUUGCUCCCAGGAGGGGACUCACAAGGUUUCUACUUUGCAGAGGCCUCUGAGGACAGCAAAGAGCAAAGGCCCUGGGACCGGGUCUCCGUGCCCAUGACAGAGCUCUGGCUGGACUGGUUCUGAGCCUCUAACACCCCCAAGACUCAGAACCGUGAAGAAAAUCUUUCCAAUAAAUCCAAGAGUUGCUGCUGCUAUAGGCCAGGCUGCCACCUUUCGGGGCCUCCGUCUUCAGACAAACCCAGCCUGGCUUCAUCCACACUCCCUGUCCCCACAGCUGCAGGAACAGCACUUCCUGCCACGGAGCCGUGUGACCACAGUGGAUUGUCUCUGGAGGGGCCCAAGGGGGCCCUGGCCACCCUUCUGACUGACUCGGUGCCAGAGGACAGACCAACGUCCCUCUCGUGCUGACAGCCGGGCCGCACCCUGGCAUGAGGGCAUUUACAGAAAUGCUGGCGGAACUGCUGCCAGGGAGGCUGUAGGGUCCUCUGGCAAAAGAGGCCUCAGGUGGCUCCUCAGAGUGUCUGGUUCUCUGUCCCAGGCUGUUCCCUAAGAAGGUCUGCCCAGGACUCAGGUAAUCAUAUGCUCAUUAGAAACUCUUGGGCACUGCCUGUGUGCCCAGCCCAGCCCAUUAUGUCGGUGAGGACAGACGUGGAGGACAGCAGUCCCUGCCCUUGGUUGGGGCUCCAGGCCAGCAAGGGCCACAGCCCCAGAAGGCAGAGCAGGAAGACAGGACUCGGGGCAGGUGAAGCAGCCUUCUCGUUGGCAGAAGGGAAACAGAAGCCCAGGGUGGGGAAGGGUGGGGAAGGGUGGGCCCGGGGUCACACGGGGUAAUGGCAGAGCCAGGACUAGGGUCAGGGUCUCUGGCUCUCAGCUGCCCAUGCCACCUCCUCCUCCUCUGCCCGCCCCAGUGCCUCAUGGGCCCAAGGUUGACUCCCAUCCCUAGGGCAGGCCAGUGGCCCACAGGGCUCAUACAUGGCCCCUGGCCAAGCCUGUGGGCCCUGCCUGACCCCUACUGGGAGGAUGGUACCUAGGGUUGGAGCCAAACAAGUGUUCUCCUCCAGCGCCAGCCUGGCCCUGAGUGCAAACUCGUCACUGGUCAGGGGUCCGGACAGCAGCAUCCCUGAGGGCCCAGAGAGGUGGCCAGUCCUGUGGUGAGGUUGAGAGGGGUCAACGUGCUGGCGGUCCUCGCUCUCAGCGCCUCCUCGGCCUCAGCGUCUGCUCUGACCACACUUGAGGAGCCCUUCAGCCCAGCGCUGCACUGUGGGAGCCCCUCUCUGGGCUGGUGGAGGCUGGAGCCGGCUCCCUCUGCUUGUGGGGAGGUAUGUAGGGAGAGGCGUGGGCGGGAACCUGGGUUGCUCGCGGGCCAGCACCAGUUCUGGGUGGCCAGGGGCUCAGCGGGCCCUGCACUCACAGCGGCCGGCUGGUGCCUCCGGCCCCAGGCAGUGAGGGGCUUAGCACCUGGGCCAGCAGCUGCAGAGGGGGCGCCGGGUCCCCCAGUACUGCUGGCCGCCGGCACACACCACACUUGAAUUGUCGCCAGGCCUCAGUCGCCUCCCCGCGGGGCAGGGCUCAGGACCUGCAGCCUGCCAUGCCCAAGCCUCCCUACGGUGGGCUCCCUGCAAGGCCCGAGCCUCCCGGAUGGGUGCCUCCCACUGCUCCACGGCACCUGGUCCCGUCCACUGCCCAAGGGCUGAGGAGUACAGGUGCCCGGUGUGGGACUGGCAGGCAGCUCUGCCUGUGGCCCUGGCAUAGGAUCCACUAGGCGAAGCUGGCUGGGCUCCUGAGUCAGGUGGGGACUUGGAGAACUUUUAUGUCUAGCCAGAGGAUUGUAUAUGCACCAAUCAGCACUCUGUGUGUAGCUCCGGGUUCGUGGAUGCACCAGUUAGCACUCUGUAUCUAGCUAAUCUGGUGGGGACUUGGGGAACCUUUAUUUCUAGCUAAAAGAUUGUAAAUACACCAAUCAGCACUCUGUGUCUAGCUCAAGGUUUGUAAACACACCAAUCAGCACCCUGUGUCUAACUCAAGGUUUGUAAACGCACCAAUCAGUGCUCUCUGUCUACUCUAUCUAGCUAAUCUAGUGGGGACUUGGACAACCUUUAUGUCUAGCUAAGGGAUUGUAAAUACACCAUUCAGCACUCUGUGUCUAGCUCAAGGUUUGUAAAUAUACCAAUCAGCACUCUGUGUCUAGCUCAGGGAUUGUAAAUGCACCAAUCAGCACCCUGUCAAAAUGGACCAAUCAACUCUCUGUAAGUGGACCAAUCCACUGUCUGUAAAAUGGGCCAAUCAGCAGGAUGUGGGUGGAGGGUCAGAUAAGGGAAUAAAAGCAGGCUGCCUGAAGUAGCAGCGGCAACCUGGUUGCCAUCGUUCUUUUGCUGUUUGCAGUAAGUCUUGCUGCUGCUCCCUCACUGGGUCCACACUGCCUUUAUGAGUUGUAACACUGGAAGGACUGCAGUUUCACUCCUGAGGCCAGUGAGACCACAAACCCACCAGGAAGAAUGAACAACUCCGUACGUGCCGCCUUAAGAGCCGUAACACUCACUGUGAAGGUCUGCAGCUUCACUCCUGAAGCCAGCAAGACCAUGCACCCACCAGAAGGAAGAAACUCUGAACACGUCUUAACAUCAGAAGGAACAAACUCUGAACACACCAUCUUUAAGAACUGUAACACUCACUGCGAGGGUCCACGGCUUCAUUCUUGAAGUCAGUGAGACCAAGAACCCACCAAUUUUGGACACAAGGUGACAGGCUGAGGGCAGUGGCUCGGUCCUGGGUUUUCCUGGGGCCUUCCCAGGGAAUGUUCUGGCACCUGCCGACUGAGCCCUGGGAGGUAGCCCUGGCAUAUAGCUCCCUGAUGCCAUGAUUUGUCUUCCGUUUUGGGGUGUCAUAUAUGAAGGGAGGUGACUGUUGUGAUGGUGCUGGCAGGACUGCUGUCCCUGAUGUGGGGUGGGCUGAGUUAGGCCUGAAAUACGGGCCUCCAGGCUGAGUCCUGCCCUCUCCACCACAUCCAGGGCUGACUGACACCUCUAGUCAGCCCAUUCUGGCCCCUUCCCCACAUGCCAGGACAAUGUAGUCCUUGUCACCAAUCUGGGCAGUCAGAGUUGGGUCAGUGGGGGACAUGGGAUUAUGGGCAAGGGUAACUGACAUCUGCUCAGCCUCAACGUACCCCUGUCUCAAAUGCGGCCAGGCGGUGGGGUAAGCAGGAAUGAGGCAGGGGUGGGGUUGCCCUGAGGAGGAUGAUCCCAACGAGGGCGUGGGCAGGGGACCCGAGUUGGAACUACCACAUUGCUUUAUUGUACAUCAGGGCCCCUGGCUAGGGAGCAGGCUGGGGACUAGGUACCCCAUUCUAGCGGGGCACAGCACAAAGCUCAUAGGGGGAUGGGGGUCACCAGGAAAGCAAAGACACCAUGGUGGCUGGGCCGGGGCUGUCCAGUGGGCACCGAGAAGCUGAAGUGCUGCAGCAGGGAGGUGAAGAAGAGGAAGAGCUCCAUGCGGGCCAGGGGCUCCCCGAGGCAUGCGCGGCGGCCUGUGGAGAGGGGAGGGGCGUCAGUGAGCCUGGCUCCUGGGUGAUACCCGUGCAAGACUCCACGGAAGGGGACAGGGAGCCGGGCUCCCCACAGGCACCUGCUGAGAAAGGCAGGAAGGCCUCCGGCUUCACAAAGUGGCCCUGGGCAUCCAGGAAGUGUUCGGGGUGGAAGUGGAAGGGCUUCUCCCAGACGGCCUCAUCCUUCAGCACCGAUGACAGGUUGGUGAUGAGUGUCGUUCCCUGGGCAGGAGAUGCAGGGUGAGAGUGGGGACUGGGCUCUAGGAUGCUAGGACCCCUGCCACCAAACACAUGGGGGACACACACUGCCUGGCACACAGCUGGACUCUGUCAACUAGUCCUGCGCCCGAGAAGCUCCACAGUACCCUCUCCGACCCCACAGCAGGGCGCAGUCACACCUCUCAGAGGCACCCACACUGCCCCCUCUCCCUGCAGGCGUUGGGUCCUCCAACAUUCUGGCAGGUCCUGAUUU